UCCAUUUGCUCAACAAAUGGGCCGCCGGAAAAACUGUAGAGUUAGGGAGUGGGAGAGGUAGACGGUACUCGGUAGGAAGGGGUAAAAUCCUUUGAUCUAUCGAUGACCACCUGUGGCGAAGGCGGUCUACCAGAACACGUCCGACGGUGAGGGAUGAAAGCUGGGGGAGCAAACCGGAUUAGAUACCCGGGUAGUCCCAGCUGUAAACGAUGCAGACUCGGUGAUGCGCUGGCUUGUGGCCAGUGCAGUGCCGCAGGGAAGCCGUUAAGUUUGCCGCCUGGGUAGUACGUACGCAAGUAUGAAACUUAAAGGAAUUGGCGGGGGAGCACCACAAGGGGUGAAGCCUGCGGUUCAAUUGGAGUCAACGCCAGAAAUCUUACCCGGGGAGACAGCAGAAUGAAGGUCAAGCUGAAGACUUUACCAGACAAGCUGAGAGGUGGUGCAUGGCCGUCGCCAGCUCGUGCCGUGAGAUGUCCUGUUAAGUCAGGUAACGAGCGAGAUCCCUGCCUCUAGUUGCCACCAUUACUCUCAGGAGUAGGUGGGGCGAAUUAGCGGGACCGCCACAGUUAAUGUGGAGGAAGGAAGGGGCCACGGCAGGUCAGUAUGCCCCGAAACCCUGGGGCCACACGCGGGCUGCAAUGGUAGUGACAAUGGGUUCCGAACCUGAAAGGGGAAGGUAAUCCUCAAACGCUACCACAGUUAUGAUUGAGGGCUGUAACUCGUCCUCAUGAAUAUGGAAUCCCUAGUAACCGCGUGUCAUU
This 761-nucleotide ribosomal RNA is filed under the name uncultured archaeon. RNAcentral describes it as "bacterial SSU rRNA". It matches the Rfam family "Archaeal small subunit ribosomal RNA", at positions 550 to 1309 of the family's 1478-position model. The record is from RNAcentral.